AUGGCCUUUUGAUAUUUAAUAAGAGGUUAGAUCUGCUCACUGAGAAUUAAAGAGCUGCAGUAUUAUGACUGUACAAAGGUAGCAUAAUCAUUAGUCUUUUAAUUGAUGACUGGUAUGAAAGAUUAGACAGGGUUAUUCUGUCUUUUAUUUAUUGAUUUAAGUUUUCUUUUGUGUGAAAAGACACAAGGGCAUUUAAGGGACGAGAAGACCCUUUUAAACUUAAUUAAAGGCAUAAAUUAUUAUUUAUAAAAGAUAAACUGCUAUAUUUUUUGCUGGGGCGGCAGAUAUUAUGUCAAUAUCUUUUAUAAACAAAAUGUUUGAAUAAAAAUAAGAUCCAUUGGUUUGAUUAGAAGAGUAAGUUACUGUAGGGGUAACAGCGUAAUGUUUUUUGAGAGUUCUUAUUGACAGAAGUGUUUGCGA
This 420-nucleotide ribosomal RNA is filed under the name Nepalmatoiulus generalis. RNAcentral's name for it is "partial small subunit ribosomal RNA". It matches the Rfam family "Archaeal large subunit ribosomal RNA", at positions 1907 to 2592 of the family's 2987-position model. Lineage: Eukaryota; Metazoa; Arthropoda; Diplopoda; Julida; Julidae. The record is from RNAcentral.